GGCAACGUGCCUGAGUGGUUAAAGGGUAUGACUAGAAUCGUCACGUGAUAUCUUGACCAUCACCUGAAAAUUAUAUCAUAUGGCUUCGGCCUCACAGGUUCGAAUCCUGUCGUUGUCG
This is a transfer RNA of 118 nucleotides. It matches the Rfam family "tRNA". Rfam says of the family: Transfer RNA (tRNA) molecules are approximately 80 nucleotides in length. Their secondary structure includes four short double-helical elements and three loops (D, anti-codon, and T loops). Further hydrogen bonds mediate the characteristic L-shaped molecular structure. tRNAs have two regions of fundamental functional importance: the anti-codon, which is responsible for specific mRNA codon recognition, and the 3' end, to which the tRNAs corresponding amino acid is attached (by aminoacyl-tRNA synthetases). tRNAs cope with the degeneracy of the genetic code in two manners: having more than one tRNA (with a specific anti-codon) for a particular amino acid; and 'wobble' base-pairing, i.e. permitting non-standard base-pairing at the 3rd anti-codon position. The record is from Rfam.